UACCUACGGGGCGCAGCAGUGGGGAAUAUUGCACAAUGGGGGAAACCCUGAUGCAGCGACGCCGCGUGAGUGAAGAAGUAUUUCGGUAUGUAAAGCUCUAUCCGCAGGGAAGAAGAAAGACGGUACCUGACUAAGAAGCCCCGGCUAACUACGUGCCAGCAGCCGCGGUAAUACGUAGGGGGCAAGCGUUAUCCGGAUUUACUGGGUGUAAAGGGAGCGUAGACGGCUGUGCAAGUCUGAAGUGAAAGCCCAGG
RNAcentral lists this ribosomal RNA (254 nucleotides) under uncultured bacterium. RNAcentral describes it as "partial 16S ribosomal RNA". It matches the Rfam family "Bacterial small subunit ribosomal RNA", at positions 335 to 606 of the family's 1533-position model. The record is from RNAcentral.